Molecule: unclassified non-coding RNA, 209 nt
Filed under: plant metagenome
Description: partial contains small subunit ribosomal RNA, internal transcribed spacer 1, and 5.8S ribosomal RNA
Source: RNAcentral
UCUCCGUUGAUGAACCAGCGGAGGGAUCAUUACUGGAAUCGCAAGAUCCCACAACCCUGUGAACCUACCGAAACGUUGCCUCGGCGGGUGCCCGGCCUCUGCGCCGGGCGCUGCGCCCGCCGGCGGCCCCCUACUCUGUCUCUGCAGCGUGGCAUCUCAGAGUCCCAGAAAACAAGUCAAAACUUUCAACAACGGAUCUCUUGGCUCUA